GUGGUGUCACAAAAUCGGAGGCCACGACUGUUUACUAAAAACACAAUUCAGAGCAAUGAUGAAAAUCAUAGUAUUCUGGAUGAAAUUUGCCCGAUGCCAUUAACAUAAAAGAGGUAAUGGGAAACUGUUACUAAUUGAAAGUCUGGUUAAUAGCGGUCUUAACUAUGAGGAUCCUAAGGUAGCAAAAUCAGUUGGCCAUUAAAUGUGGUCUGGUAUCAAUAGUGUAACGAUGGUCUCACUGUCUCUACAACUUGCUCAGUGAAAUUGAAUUAUCCGUGCAGAUGCGGAUUGCCUCCAGGUGGACCGGAAGACCC
This 314-nucleotide ribosomal RNA is filed under the name thelephoroid fungal sp. 2. RNAcentral describes it as "LSU rRNA". It matches the Rfam family "Bacterial large subunit ribosomal RNA", at positions 1773 to 2091 of the family's 2925-position model. The record is from RNAcentral. Lineage: Eukaryota; Fungi; Basidiomycota; Agaricomycetes; Thelephorales; Thelephoraceae.